This 1922-nucleotide ribosomal RNA is filed under the name human gut metagenome. Its description in RNAcentral is "bacterial LSU rRNA". It matches the Rfam family "Bacterial large subunit ribosomal RNA", at positions 3 to 1973 of the family's 2925-position model. The record is from RNAcentral.
UCAAGCGACUAAGUGUAUGUGGUGGAUGCCUUGGCGAUUACAGGCGAUGAAGGACGUCGCAGCCUGCGAAAAGCCGUGGGGAGCUGGCAAGCGAGCACUGAUCCACGGAUGUCCGAAUGAGGGAACUCACCCGCAAGGGUAUCUUGAAGUGAAUACAUAGCUUCAAGAGGCGAACGCAGCGAACUGAAACAUCUAAGUAGCUGCAGGAAAAGAAAUCAACCGAGAUUCUGAAAGUAGCGGCGAGCGAAAUUGGAAGAGCCUGCAAGUGAUAUUGAAUUCGAUACUGGAACGGUCUGGAAAGUCCGGCUACAGAGGGUGAUAGCCCCGUACGGGAAAUUGGGUUCAAGGUACUGAGCUUGCGAGAAGUAGAGCGGGACACGUGAAAUCCUGCUCGAAGAUGGGGGGACCAUCCUCCAAGGCUAAAUACUCGUAAUCGACCGAUAGCGAACCAGUACUGUGAAGGAAAGGCGAAAAGAACCCCGGGAGGGGAGUGAAAUAGAUCCUGAAACCGCAUACAUACAAACAGUAGGAGCCCGCAAGGGUGACUGCGUACCUUUUGCAUAAUGGGUCAGCGACUUACGUUCAAUGGCAAGCUUAACCGAGUAGGGGAGGCGCAGCGAAAGCGAGUCCGAACAGGGCGACAUGAGUCGUUGGGCGUAGACCCGAAACCAGAUGAUCUAUCCAUGGCCAGGCUGAAGGUGUGGUAACACACACUGGAGGGCCGAACCGACUAGUGUUGCAAAAUUAGCGGAUGAGCUGUGGAUAGGGGUGAAAGGCUAAACAAAUCUGGAGAUAGCUGGUUCUCCCCGAAAACUAUUGAGGUAGUGCCUCGUGUAUGGCUCCAGGGGGUAGAGCACUGUUAUGGCUAGGGGGACAUGGCGUCUUACCAAACCAUGGCAAACUCCGAAUACUUGGAAGUCUGAGCACGGGAGACAGAGCACCGGGUGCUAACGUCCGGACUCAAAAGGGAAACAACCCAGACCGCCGGCUAAGGUCCCUAAUAUUGACUAAGUGGAAAACGAAGUGGGAAGGCUAAGACAGUCAGGAAGUUGGCUUAGAAGCAGCCAUCCUUCAAAGAAAGCGUAAUAGCUCACUGAUCGAGUCUGCCUGCGCGGAAGAUGUAACGGGGCUAAGUCAAUAACCGAAGCCGCGGAUUCGCAGCAAUGCGAGUGGUAGGGGAGCGUUCUGUAAGCCUGCGAAGGCGGAUCUGUGAGGACCGCUGGAGGUAUCAGAAGUGCGAAUGCUGACAUGAGUAACGUUAAAGCGGGUGAAAAGCCCGCUCGCCGCAAGCCCAAGGUUUCCUGCUCUACGUUCAUCGGAGCAGGGUGAGUCGGCCCCUAAGGUCAGGCUGAGAAGCGUAGCUGAUGGGAAGCUGGUUAAUAUUCCAGCACCGAUUUCAAGUGCGAAGGGGGGACGGAGUCCUGAAGGUCAUCCGGGUGUUGGAUAUCCCGGUUUACGAGCGUAGGAGGUUGACAGGCAAAUCCGUCAACGGAUCUCCAAGGCGAAGGAUCGAGGUUGAGAGAUCAACUGAAGUGACUGAAUGGGCUUCCAGGAAAAGCCUCUAAGCAUCAGCUUGGAAUUGACCGUACCGCAAACCGACACUGGUGGGCGAGCUGAAUAUGCUCAGGCGCUUGAGAGAACUCAGGAGAAGGAACUCGGCAAAUUGACCCCGUAACUUCGGGAUAAGGUGUGCCUUUGUAGUGUGAAGAGAGAAACACUCCGAGCAUGAAGAGGCCUCAGAGAAUCGGUGGCUGCAACUGUUUACUAAAAACACAGCACUCUGCAAAGAUGAAAGUCGACGUAUAGGGUGUGAUGCCUGCCCGGUGCUGGAAGAUUAAUUGAUGGGGUGCAAGCUCCUGAUCGAAGUCCCAGUAAACGGCGGCCGUAACUAUAACGGUCCUAAGGUAGCGAAAUUCCUUGUC